RNAcentral lists this ribosomal RNA (742 nucleotides) under uncultured bacterium. Its description in RNAcentral is "bacterial SSU rRNA". It matches the Rfam family "Bacterial small subunit ribosomal RNA", at positions 8 to 796 of the family's 1533-position model. The record is from RNAcentral.
AGAGUUUGAUCAUGGCUCAGAACGAACGCUGGCGGCAUGCCUAACACAUGCAAGUCGAACGAAGCCUUCGGGCUUAGUGGCGCACGGGUGCGUAACGCGUGGGAAUCUACCCUUGGGUUCGGAAUAACAGUUAGAAAUGACUGCUAAUACCGGAUGAUGACGUAAGUCCAAAGAUUUAUCGCCCAAGGACGAGCCCGCGUAGGAUUAGCUAGUUGGUGAGGUAAAGGCUCACCAAGGCGACGAUCCUUAGCUGGUCUGAGAGGAUGAUCAGCCACACUGGGACUGAGACACGGCCCAGACUCCUACGGGAGGCAGCAGUGGGGAAUAUUGGACAAUGGGCGAAAGCCUGAUCCAGCAAUGCCGCGUGAGUGAUGAAGGCCCUAGGGUUGUAAAGCUCUUUUACCCGGGAUGAUAAUGACAGUACCGGGAGAAUAAGCUCCGGCUAACUCCGUGCCAGCAGCCGCGGUAAUACGGAGGGAGCUAGCGUUGUUCGGAAUUACUGGGCGUAAAGCGUACGUAGGCGGCUUUGUAAGUUAGAGGUGAAAGCCCGGAGCUCAACUCCGGAAUUGCCUUUAAGACUGCAUCGCUUGAAUCCGGGAGAGGUGAGUGGAAUUCCGAGUGUAGAGGUGAAAUUCGUAGAUAUUCGGAAGAACACCAGUGGCGAAGGCGGCUCACUGGACCGGCAUUGACGCUGAGGUACGAAAGCGUGGGGAGCAAACAGGAUUAGAUACCCUAGUAGUCC